AGAGUUUGAUCAUGGCUCAGAUUGAACGCUGGCGGCAGGCCUAACACAUGCAAGUCGAACGGUAACAGGAAGCAGCUUGCUGCUUCGCUGACGAGUGGCGGACGGGUGAGUAAUGUCUGGGAAACUGCCUGAUGGAGGGGGAUAACUACUGGAAACGGUAGCUAAUACCGCAUAACGUCGCAAGACCAAAGAGGGGGACCUUCGGGCCUCUUGCCAUCAGAUGUGCCCAGAUGGGAUUAGCUUGUUGGUGAGGUAACGGCUCACCAAGGCGACGAUCCCUAGCUGGUCUGAGAGGAUGACCAGCCACACUGGAACUGAGACACGGUCCAGACUCCUACGGGAGGCAGCAGUGGGGAAUAUUGCACAAUGGGCGCAAGCCUGAUGCAGCCAUGCCGCGUGUAUGAAGAAGGCCUUCGGGUUGUAAAGUACUUUCAGCGGGGAGGAAGGUGUUGUGGUUAAUAACCGCAGCAAUUGACGUUACCCGCAGAAGAAGCACCGGCUAACUCCGUGCCAGCAGCCGCGGUAAUACGGAGGGUGCAAGCGUUAAUCGGAAUUACUGGGCGUAAAGCGCACGCAGGCGGUCUGUCAAGUCGGAUGUGAAAUCCCCGGGCUCAACCUGGGAACUGCAUUCGAAACUGGCAGGCUUGAGUCUUGUAGAGGGGGGUAGAAUUCCAGGUGUAGCGGUGAAAUGCGUAGAGAUCUGGAGGAAUACCGGUGGCGAAGGCGGCCCCCUGGACAAAGACUGACGCUCAGGUGCGAAAGCGUGGGGAGCAAACAGGAUUAGAUACCCUGGUAGUCCACGCCGUAAACGAUGUCUACUUGGAGGUUGUGCCCUUGAGGCGUGGCUUCCGGAGCUAACGCGUUAAGUAGACCGCCUGGGGAGUACGGCCGCAAGGUUAAAACUCAAAUGAAUUGACGGGGGCCCGCACAAGCGGUGGAGCAUGUGGUUUAAUUCGAUGCAACGCGAAGAACCUUACCUGGUCUUGACAUCCACGGAAGUUUUCAGAGAUGAGAAUGUGCCUUCGGGAACCGUGAGACAGGUGCUGCAUGGCUGUCGUCAGCUCGUGUUGUGAAAUGUUGGGUUAAGUCCCGCAACGAGCGCAACCCUUAUCCUUUGUUGCCAGCGGUCCGGCCGGGAACUCAAAGGAGACUGCCAGUGAUAAACUGGAGGAAGGUGGGGAUGACGUCAAGUCAUCAUGGCCCUUACGACCAGGGCUACACACGUGCUACAAUGGCGCAUACAAAGAGAAGCGACCUCGCGAGAGCAAGCGGACCUCAUAAAGUGCGUCGUAGUCCGGAUUGGAGUCUGCAACUCGACUCCAUGAAGUCGGAAUCGCUAGUAAUCGUGGAUCAGAAUGCCACGGUGAAUACGUUCCCGGGCCUUGUACACACCGCCCGUCACACCAUGGGAGUGGGUUGCAAAAGAAGUAGGUAGCUUAACCUUCGGGAGGGCGCUUACCACUUUGUGAUUCAUGACUGGGGUGAAGUCGUAACAAGGUAACCGUAGGGGAACCUGCGGUUGGAUCACCU
RNAcentral lists this ribosomal RNA (1530 nucleotides) under Salmonella enterica subsp. enterica serovar Heidelberg. RNAcentral describes it as "bacterial SSU rRNA". It matches the Rfam family "Bacterial small subunit ribosomal RNA". The record is from RNAcentral. Lineage: Bacteria; Pseudomonadati; Pseudomonadota; Gammaproteobacteria; Enterobacterales; Enterobacteriaceae.